CGCAUAAUAUACCGAGACGGCAUCGUCAUAGUAUCAAAGGAGCAAUCCGCUGAAAGAUGGGCUCGCGGCCGAUUAGCUAGUUGGUGAGGUAAAGGCCCACCAAGGCGACGAUCGGUAGCCGGACUGAGAGGUUGAACGGCCACAUUGGGACUGAGACACGGCCCA
This 165-nucleotide ribosomal RNA is filed under the name uncultured Bacillota bacterium. RNAcentral's name for it is "uncultured Firmicutes bacterium partial 16S ribosomal RNA". It matches the Rfam family "Bacterial small subunit ribosomal RNA", at positions 170 to 333 of the family's 1533-position model. Lineage: Bacteria; Bacillati; Bacillota. The record is from RNAcentral.